UGGUUCAGGACGAACGCUGGCGGCGUGCCUAAUACAUGCAAGUCGAGCGGAUCUUCAUUAGCUUGCUUUUGAAGAUCAGCGGCGGACGGGUGAGUAACACGUGGGCAACCUGCCUGUAAGACUGGGAUAACUUCGGGAAACCGGAGCUAAUACCGGAUAAUCCUUUCCCUCACAUGAGGGAAAGCUGAAAGACGGUUUCGGCUGUCACUUACAGAUGGGCCCGCGGCGCAUUAGCUAGUUGGUGAGGUAACGGCUCACCAAGGCAACGAUGCGUAGCCGACCUGAGAGGGUGAUCGGCCACACUGGGACUGAGACACGGCCCAGACUCCUACGGGAGGCAGCAGUAGGGAAUCUUCCGCAAUGGACGAAAGUCUGACGGAGCAACGCCGCGUGAACGAUGAAGGCUUUCGGGUCGUAAAGUUCUGUUGUCAGGGAAGAACAAGUACCGGAGUAACUGCCGGUACCUUGACGGUACC
This 476-nucleotide ribosomal RNA is filed under the name Mesobacillus selenatarsenatis. Its description in RNAcentral is "bacterial SSU rRNA". It matches the Rfam family "Bacterial small subunit ribosomal RNA", at positions 20 to 479 of the family's 1533-position model. Lineage: Bacteria; Bacillati; Bacillota; Bacilli; Caryophanales; Bacillaceae. The record is from RNAcentral.